AAUUUUCUUUCUUGAACUUAACCUAAACCAUACAUAAUCGCAUCCACAACAUGGCUUUCUCAACAAAAUAAUUAUUUAAUCUUCAGGUUUUUUAUUUUGUUUAAAGGAAUAGAUCGACGACGAUGGCUUCCAAAAGCGGUAGCCAAUCACCUCUGGAAGCAGAGGGCGAAGGCGGUGCUGAAGCUGUUGCUGCCGAUGAUGAGGCGGAAAUGCAGGCUUAUACAUUUGCAGCAAUUGCGACAAUUGUGGUCUCCAAUUUGACGAUCCAGAAGAAAAUAGACAAUACCGAUUAUACAAUCGCCAAUUCCAUGAAUCCGCUGAGGCUUGUAUACCAAUGUUGGAGUUAAACCGCGUCCUGCUCCGGCUGAUUUCCUUCUUUAUUGGGAGCUACUGUAGUCAAUGCAGACCUUAGUAAACCAGAGACUAUACCAGCAACAUUGAUUGGGAUUCAUACUAUCAUUGACUGUGCCUCUCGCCGUCCUCUUAUUAAAAUGCAAGUUAGGAGCACUUUUACGCGGGAUAUUAUUGAUUUUCUUCUGGUUUGCAGUCGUCCUUCCAAAUGUGGACAAAUCAAAUAUAGGAAACACUUAACUGUAAGAAAUGCGGAGAUGCUGUAUUUUGAACUAAACAUUUUGCUACAGCCAUUGAUAAUUACACACAACCGAGAAUAGAAGAGCGGAGGUCAAGCUGGAGAAGCUAUUCAGGGAAGAUAACAAUACUAAUGCCCAGAUGAUACAUGAAAAACAAGAUCAGAUUGCAGGUCUUUAUGUUUCGAUGCAAAGAAGGAUUCUCCGAUGAAGAGAAAGAACGGAUUGCAGGUCUUCCGGGACAUUGCUCCAACUCCAGAUGACAGUCCAUGAACUUCAAUUUGAAAGAGCCGCAAAAGUGUGUAUAUAUUUUAAUCUUGAAGAUUGUUGCUGCUCCAAUCAAAUAAUGCAUGAACAACUUUCUUACUAUGAAAAAUUACAGUUUGCAGGCUUUCAGGGAGCUUGAAUCUUUAAGAAGUUUAUGUAGAGAUUGUGUAUAAAAAGUUAAUGCAUAUUAGCCUCUGAUUUUUUGUUUGAUCUUUUUAUUACCAUAUGUUUGAUUCAUAUGCUUGUAUAUUAGUCCUUUUUCCCGUGGUUAAAUAACUUCAAGUUAACCACAGUUUCAUUUUGUUUGGCUACUACUGCAAUUUGCUUACCUGUGUGUUGCCUGCCAUACCAUGGCAAGACUUUUGUCAUAGUACUCUUAUCGUUUUUCAGAAGCUUUUGUAUUAUACAAUUGGUCCCAUCUCCUUAUUAUCGUAGUUAAUAAGUUUUUCAUU
This is a long non-coding RNA of Mercurialis annua (annual mercury), 1306 nucleotides long. RefSeq lists it as uncharacterized. The transcript is spliced from 4 exons. Lineage: Eukaryota; Viridiplantae; Streptophyta; Magnoliopsida; Malpighiales; Euphorbiaceae. The record is from RefSeq and is a predicted model, not a curated record.